GAUGAACGCUGGCGGCGUGCCUAAUACAUGCAAGUCGAGCGAACAGACGAUGAGCUUGCUCCUCUGACGUUAGCGGCGGACGGGUGAGUAACACGUGGAUAACCUACCUAUAAGACUGGGAUAACUUCGGGAAACCGGAGCUAAUACCGGAUAAUAUAUUGAACCGCAUGGUUCAAUAGUGAAUGACGGUUUUGCUGUCACUUAUAGAUGGAUCCGCGCCGCAUUAGCUAGUUGGUAAGGUAACGGCUUACCAAGGCGACGAUGCGUAGCCGACCUGAGAGGGUGAUCGGCCACACUGGAACUGAGACACGGUCCAGACUCCUACGGGAGGCAGCAGUAGGGAAUCUUCCGCAAUGGGCGAAAGCCUGACGGAGCAACAUCGCGUGAGUGAUGAAGGUCUUCGGAUCGUAAAACUCUGUUAUUAGGGAAGAACAAAUGUGUAAGUAACUAUGCACGUCUUGACGGUACCUAAUCAGAAAGCCACGGCUAACUACGUG
Molecule: ribosomal RNA, 497 nt
Filed under: uncultured bacterium
Lineage: Bacteria
Description: partial 16S ribosomal RNA
Rfam family: Bacterial small subunit ribosomal RNA
Source: RNAcentral